CCGCCGCGCCUCCCCUCCCGGGGCUCACCUCCUCGAUGGCCGCCACCGUGUUCCUGCACUGGGCCAUCCGGGUGGUGAAGUUGGAGGCGAAAAUGUUCAACUGAUGCAACUGAACAUAAUCAGCAGGCAAGACUGAGAACAGCCCCACUGGAGAACAGAGGAUGGUCCAUCUCCAUUGAGAGGGACAGCUUUUCACAUCUGUGGUGGAAGUUAUCAAACCUAUCAUCAGAACCAGUGGAGAACUUUAAUUUGGUGAUGUUUUGGACUCACUUCAUAAAAGAAAAAUAGCUGAAAUGUAAUGGAGUGGCAAAACACGGUACUUGCAUCUGAAGCACGGUAAUGGGAGGAUGCAAAUGCAGUGAUGUGUAUUAAUUAUAAAAUCAUAAAAAUUUAGGCAGAAGUGGCACAGCCCACCAAUUCAUCCCAAGAUUGUACCACCAUCGUUCCUCACGGGGCCUUGUCUGAGCAGCUCCUAAAGACUUAGACAAGCUUCUCUUGAUUGUGGAGUUCGUCGUAGUUCUGUGUCCAAAUGGCAUUUUCAGUCCACCAAAGAUGUCCUUCUGGGAGCUUUGGGUGACUUGUCUACACGGGACAGGGAUUUGUGCUCAUUACUUCCUUCCAGCGUUGGACUUCACUGUCUCGCCCAUCGCCAUUGCUGGUGCAACGAGCCCUGACCCAUACGAAAUCUGCCUCCUUCCACCAGCUCUCUGCCAGCAAUCCUUCUCAGAAACAACAACCAGAGACAAAGCUGGGCUUCCGGGGAUGUUCCUCUCCAGUGGCUGCAAUGGCCCUACAAAGAGCUGCUUGGAAAGGCAUUUUUCCUUCUCUCUGAGGCUUUUUCUGAAGAGGUAUAUGACAUUUCCAGAAGUCUAGUUACUUCUCCUCUAAGUUUUCUGUGUCCAUGAUAGACGUGUUUUUAAAUCAAUGCUUUUGGCUUCUUGAACCGCAGUAAAUAAUCUUAUGAGGAACAGAGUCAAUAUGUAUUUGCUCUUUUGCUCUUAAGCACUUUCCUGGUAGCCGUGCUCAGCACUGACUCCCAUUUCGAUCAACUGCUCUGGCAUCUCAUCUUCAUUCAAAUUCUCACAGGCGGCCGGCGGUGCCCCUCCUGUAUCACGCACCUCCAUACAGAGGCCUGUCUGAGGGUCACGGCUCUGUCAGAAGCUGUAGGCUUAAUUGUCCCUUGUGCGAAGAUAAAUAGCAUUGAGUUGCACAGCACCAUUUUGACAGGAACACGAUUGUAUAGAGGAUGUUAUCAGAGCCCAUAAAUGAAAUGGAGGGCCUUUCAGAGCCAAUUUCAAUGUUGUUUCAAAACAAAAAAGCCCAAACAAUAUCCGAAAAUAAGGAACCAGAAAAUAGCCUGCAGUGAUUUUCUUCUAGUCUGCCUAUACUUCAGAAGACUGAACUCAUUUUUUGUGAACGAUGCCACCGGGGAGCCUGUGGCCUACGUCCAGGCCACUAUCCAUCCAACACCUGUGUGACACAGGAAACACACAUGAAGACACUGGAAGUUCCUGUGAUACCGUGUGUCGCAUGGUCCAUGUGGCUGAGAGGAGAACUGCUGUAGCAGGGAGGACCAAUACAGAUUAGAUUAUCUGGACUUUCCUCACAGAAACUUGUUCCUUCUCAGCAGUGCUUAUCAGUACUGAGCACCUUAUCAUGAUUCACCUGCACAUGGGGAUUUAAAUGGGCAUUUUUUGUGGGUACAGACAGCACCAUCUUCCUGCCUUACCAGUCACAUCAUUGUUUUGUUUUUUUAAUAUACUCUAAAUCACAUCAGCUUUAGAGACGUAAAAGUGUUACUUAUCUCUGCAGUAUGACACACACCCCCCUCCCCAGUUUCUGGCCACAUUUGCUGCCUGCCUCCCAGUUUGCAUGCUGCUCACCAUCCAUCUUCACUGACUUUUCCCCCACACCAAUGUGAGAUUAAAACACCAUGGGAAAUUAAAUGCAGCGCAUAUAAAUCAUGUUUAUUGUUGCCUCGGAUACAGAAAGAUAACAAGAAUCAAUAAGAAAGGCACGAUGACUCACAGUUUUAUUAGUAUUCUCAGUUUUUCAUGAGCUGAGCCUUCCUAAAGAAAUGGUUUAAUUGGACCACUGAGAUCUUGAAGAAUUCAUAUAUUCCUGGCUAUUUAUCUUCUGAAACUUCAGGUUCUGAUUUUCAAUAGCACUUACAAUCAUGAGGGAAAGAACUUUACUUCUCUCAGAGAACCUGACAAAUUUCUAAAAGGUACAGAGGUUUUGUGCGGGCAGAAUUAAUCUUAGCUGUGGUGCCUGAAGCAGAGAGGUGGUGCUCAGGUCUCUGAGCGCCCUUAGCUGGGGAGGAGGCAGGUGGCCAAAACGACACGGAGAACUGGUUGUUCAGAUGGCUGAAGUGUUGUCCUUCCGUCUUCUACCCUCACAAAGCAUAAAAAAACAUUCUACAAUUUCUCUCUGCCUGAUUACAGGACCAAUGGAUCAGAACAACAUUAUUUUGACCAUUCCUCAUGAUUAAUUGUCUUUUAUCACAAUCUGUGAUAACUUUAUUUCUAUGAAAGGUUCAUUGUCUUAUUUAAAUUUGUUGCCACUAUUUUUCUGGAAAAAUUUUAUUCAAACACAGUUUAACCUAAGCGUAUCAGAAUACGGACUCCACACAAUUAUCCCUAAUAAAAUCAGAUACAAACAUGUUUCCUUGCUCGCAGCAUAGUCCUUCACCAUGGUUUUCUUUGGGCAGCAAGUGUGAGGAUCUGUUUCCUUGGCUGCUUCAUACACUUUACCUGCACCCUUUUGAGUUGUUCAGACCGUACCUGGCUUUUAUCCCCGGCCCAGAAGUAACCUUGUGCUAACCCCAACCUUGUACACUAGCGGGCGUUUCUCUCUGGAGCACAUAGUGAUGCAAAAGCAAAGGCCAAUCUCUAGCCUUUCCAUAAGAGACAUCAUUUCUCUUUCAGCUUUUCAAAAGAACAUCCCACAGACAUUCACCGGUCCCUUAGGUUGUGGCUAAACUCUUUUCUCAUGGGCUAACAUCUGGCAUGAACUAUGGAAGCAAAAUCUCCCAAAAUAAGAGAAUGUUCCACUAACAUCCCCAGUAGCCUAAGGAGCAGAUAUUUCCUUCCUUGGUCAUUUGGGCAAAUGGGCCCAUGUUUCCACGAAACUUGUUACCGCGGGUCUUUAUACAUCAUUCCCACCUGGGUAUUGGGUCUGUCUUCCAUCACAGCCAAUCAUGAGCUCCCUGCCCUGGAUUUCCCAGUCCGGUGACUGGCAAACUGCGCUGUAAACUUCCACUGUGCCGCCCCGGCAGUGGAUUUGCCACGACCGAACUUCAGUGCUAACAAAAGCAGACAACAGGGGUGGGUGUGAGUGCUUGGGCAUGCUGUCAGUAUGCCUUUCCACAGGACUGGUCUGUCACUGCAUUUCUCUACUUAUUUCUGGGAAAAUGGCUUUUAUCAUCUAAACUUUCUGGUUGUCUCUUUACUGCCUUAUUCAUUGCCUUCACCCACUGACCACUGCAGGCUGGCUGGCAUUAAGGACUGAUAAUUAACAAGAUAAAGAUGCUCCAGGUACACUCUUUCCAGAGGCAACUCCUUCGUUAUCUUUUCUGGUUCCUUGUAGAAGCUGCAGUGACAAAUCUGU
Molecule: non-coding RNA, 3609 nt
Organism: Phalacrocorax carbo (great cormorant)
Lineage: Eukaryota; Metazoa; Chordata; Aves; Suliformes; Phalacrocoracidae
Source: RefSeq, a predicted model, not a curated record